RNAcentral lists this ribosomal RNA (543 nucleotides) under uncultured delta proteobacterium. RNAcentral describes it as "bacterial SSU rRNA". It matches the Rfam family "Bacterial small subunit ribosomal RNA", at positions 1 to 523 of the family's 1533-position model. The record is from RNAcentral. Lineage: Bacteria; Deltaproteobacteria.
GACUAGAGUUUGAUCCUGGCUCAGAGCGAACGCUGGCGGCGUGCUUAACACAUGCAAGUCGUGCGGGAAAGGGACCUUCGGGUCCUGAGUAGAGCGGCGCACGGGUGCGUAAGACGCGGGUGACCUAUCCGCGAGGCGGGGAUAACCCUUCGAAAGAGGGGCUAAUACCGGAUGUGCCCACGGGCAGAGAUGCCUGGGGGCAAAGGGUGCUCCUUGAUAGGGGCACGCCCUCGUGGAGGGGCCCACGGCCUAUCAGCUCGUUGGUAAGGUAAUGGCUUACCAAGGCGAAGACGGGUAGCUGGUCUGAGAGGAUGGCCAGCCACACGGGGACUGAGACACGGCCCCGACUCCUACGGGAGGCAGCAGUGGGGAAUAUUGGGCAAUGGGCGCAAGCCUGACCCAGCGACGCCGCGUGGGUGAUGAAGGCCUUCGGGUCGUAAAGCCCUGUCGGGUGGAAAGAACGGUCGAGGGGCGAAGAGGCCCUUGACGUGACGGUACCACCGAAGGAAGCACCGGCCAAUUCCGUGCCAGCAGCCGCGGUAA